CGUAGGGUGCAAGCGUUAAUCGGAAUUACUGGGCGUAAAGCGUGCGCAGGCGGCCAUGCAAGACAGAUGUGAAAUCCCCGGGCUCAACCUGGGAACUGCAUUUGUGACUGCAUGGCUCGAGUACGGCAGAGGGGGAUGGAAUUCCGCGUGUAGCAGUGAAUGCGUAGAUAUGCGGAGGAACACCGAUGGCGAAGGCAAUCCCUGGGCCUGUACUGACGCUCAUGCACGAAAGCGUGGGAGCAAACAGGAUU
RNAcentral lists this ribosomal RNA (251 nucleotides) under uncultured bacterium. RNAcentral's name for it is "partial 16S ribosomal RNA". It matches the Rfam family "Bacterial small subunit ribosomal RNA", at positions 526 to 779 of the family's 1533-position model. The record is from RNAcentral.